Molecule: RNA transcript, 2033 nt
Organism: Rosa rugosa (rugosa rose)
Lineage: Eukaryota; Viridiplantae; Streptophyta; Magnoliopsida; Rosales; Rosaceae
Gene name: OVARIAN TUMOR DOMAIN-containing deubiquitinating enzyme 11-like
Exons: 8
Source: RefSeq, a predicted model, not a curated record
CCCAAAUUUUUUUCUUUCCUUUCUCUCACUCGGUCGCUCUCCUUACUGACCUUGCUCUGAACUGUAUGGAGCUUUCCAAUUUCAAUCAAUUUUUGAAGAAAGCUCAGAAGCUACAAGCUACAACUUCGACAACAGUGAACGGUCGGUUUAUCUAUCUGAGGAUCGAAGGGUGCAUUAAAUCGAGGUUGGCUCUGGGAAUUCCGGCAUGGAAAUUGCUUUGGAUCUGGCAAACGAUAGUGCAAAGACUUCAAUCAUUGUUCAAAGCCCGGUUCAUUUUUUGUCAAGAAGGAUGGUUUACUUGGCCUUGGUUUUGUUAAGAUAUCUUUCAUUUAGCAAAGUGGAUUCUUUGAUGGUUUUGCUUAGCAAUCUGGUUUAUGGAGACCUGACCCAAGUACGGGAUACCCAGGCCAAAAGAGGGCCCUUUCUUUAUGAAGAUCAAGAACGACAAGUAUCCGGCCAUUGAUGUCGGCGCCUGUAGUAAGAUCAAGUCCGACGAGAUUCAGGUUUUACCUGCAGAAAUAGGCAGCAUAAGAGGAAGCGAUGUGGAACUCAAAAGGGGAAGUCAUACCAGUUUGAGUCCAUCGUUUUCUGCACCGGAUUCAAGACAUCAACAAGUUUGUGGCUCAAGAUGAUUAUCUUUUGAAAGAAGAUAGGAUUCCAAGACCAAGUUCUCCAAACCAUUCGAAGGGACAGAAGGGUUUGUAUUGUGUGGGACUACCAAGAAGCAAUUUCCAUUUUUUAUAUGUUCUGUGGUCAUUUUGUGAAGAUGCCUACUUUCUUCGUCACUUGAACCAUUUAUUUGUGAAGGCAUGAUUUGGAUGAUCUCAUGUUCCAUUUUGGAGCCAAAAUUUGUUUAAUCACCUCUCUUCGGGAUACUUGCUACAUUGAGAUCCUUCCUAAAGACAGGAAUCCUACACAAGAGCUUUGGCUGAGCUUUUGGAGCGAAGUGCAUUACAACUCACUAUAUGCUACUGCAGAUGCAUGUUUCCACAAGAAGUCCCAGAAAGAACCAUUGGCUUUUCUAGACUGCAAUUAGCAAGCAGACAGACCAUGAUGUAAUCUUAGUCUGCUUGCCGGUAUCCAUUCUACUGUCUUUGGCAGAAUUAGAAAAUGAGACAGUGCCUUGGUUGUUUCUUGUAACACCCCGACCCAGCUUAAUCAAUCUCAUACCUGACCGGAGAUGGAGGCGAGUCGACCGGUGUGCACAGGGGCGACGCCGGAAAAGUCAGAAAUCGCGGUAAAGCUUCGAAUCUCUCUCCGAAAUCUGAUCCAAGCCAUCGGCGUGACGGCGACGAGUAGUCGGAGGGACUAGGGGGUCUAGCGUCGUCGACCGGUGGCCGGAGAUCGGCGUUGUGGAUUGGUUUCCUCGGUCGGCGAGUGCUUCGGUCUGAGAGCACCGAGCUCUCCUAUUCCCUCUCUCUCUCUCUCUCUCAAACUUUCUCCCUUUUUCCUCCCUGAGAGAGAUAUGAGGCGGUCCUCCCCAAGUUUCUCCUUUUAUCAAGAGACUUAGAGCAUCUCCAACAGUGAUAGCUAUCUUCAUAGCUAAAAGUAGCUAAAAUUAGAAUAUAGCUAGUUGAAUAUUGAGUUAUGCUCCAGCAGAAUACCUAAAUCUCAAGUUAAAUUUAACUUUUAGUUAAAUUUCUCUUUUCUCUAGCUAAAUAUAGCUAGAUUUUUUAGCUAAAGCUAAAUUUAGCUUUUGUUUAGCUAGUCUGCUGGAGAUCAAACUUAGCCUAAAAUCAGUUAAAUUUCAAUUUUUUUUUUAAAUAAGUAUUCUGUUGGAGAUGCUCUUAGAGAGGGAUGUAGAGAGUUCUCGAGAGUCCACGUGCUUCCCCCUCCCAUCGAUCUUAUCUCCCCCUCCCCAUUCUAGAACCUCCUUGAUUGAUCUGAUCAACACCUGUAAAUAGAUUGGUCCAUUUAACAAUGGACGGUCCUGAUCAAGCGGUGAGUGGAUCAAUGGCUCACAUCGCUCCAUCAACUUUCCGUUUCUUGAUUUCAUUUCUUAAAUUCCACAACUUCGAACAAUCACCAUAAAU